Molecule: unclassified non-coding RNA, 354 nt
Filed under: soil metagenome
Description: partial contains 5.8S ribosomal RNA, internal transcribed spacer 2, and large subunit ribosomal RNA
Rfam family: 5.8S ribosomal RNA (bases 1-120)
Source: RNAcentral
GAUGAAGAACGUAGCGAAAUGCGAUAAGUAGUGUGAAUUGCAGAAUUCAGUGAAUCAUCGAAUCUUUGAACGCACAUGGCGCCUUCCAGUAUCCUGGGAGGCAUGCCUGUCCGAGCGUCGUUUCAACCCUCGAGCCCCCGUGGCCCGGCGUUGGGGAUCUGCCCAGGCAGUCCCCGAAAACCAGUGGCGGACCCGUUACAGGCCCUUCCCUUGCGUAGUAGCAUUCGCCUCGCAUCGGGAGCCGGCGGGCUUCCAGCCUCUAAACCCCCAUCAAGUCCGCCCCGGCGGCACCAAGGUUGACCUCGGAUCAGGUAGGAAUACCCGCUGUACUUAAGCAUAUCAAUAAGCGGAGGA